Pezoporus flaviventris is the source of this 1707-nucleotide RNA transcript. It is a transcript of the gene named boule homolog, RNA binding protein, with no coding region annotated. The record is from RefSeq and is a predicted model, not a curated record. Lineage: Eukaryota; Metazoa; Chordata; Aves; Psittaciformes; Psittacidae. The transcript is spliced from 12 exons.
AUCCGUUGUGUGUUCCUGCGUCCGUUGCAGGCCCCUCUGCCGGUGCUCGUCGGCUGGGCGCGAGGCGGAGCUGAGGAGAGUUGGCGCGUGCCGGCAACGUGCCGGGGCUUGAGGCGGCGACGGGGAGAUGGAGCCCGACAGCGCGCAGACACCAAAUCAGAUGCAAACAGAAUCUUUAUAUUCAUGUCCCAACACUGCGUCUCCAGUGCCAUUAAAUAGUCUGACCAGUACUCCAAGGUUUGGAACAGUUACUCCAAAUCGCGUCUUUGUAGGAGGAAUUGAUUUUAAGACUAAUGAAAAUGAUCUGAAGAAGUUUUUUGCUCAGUAUGGCAGUGUGAAAGAAGUGAAGAUAGUAAAUGACAGAGCUGGAGUAUCAAAGGGGUAUGGCUUCAUUACUUUUGAAACUCAAGAAGAUGCACAGAAGAUUUUACAAGAGGCUAAAAAACUUAAUUAUAGGGAUAAGAAAUUGAAUAUUGGUCCAGCAAUCAGAAAACAACAAAUACGGAAUCCUCGUUCUACUGUAAUACCAGAAACUGCUACAAUGUACUUAACUACAUCAAGUGGAUAUCCCUACAUAUACCAUAAUGGAGUGGCUUAUUUUCAUACAUCUGAAGUUGCUUCUGUUCAGCAGCCAUGGCCAUCGCGCUCUGUUUCCAGUUCACCUGUGAUGGUGGCUCAACCCGUUUAUCAGUCUCCUACAUACCAGUAUCAGGCACCAGCCCCCUGUGUUCCAAGUCAGUGGCAGUGGCCUGUUCCACAGUCUGCUGUCUCUUCACCUUCAUUCUUGUAUGUGCAACCAUCUGAAGUCAUUUAUCAGCCGAUAGGGAUUACCCAGGAAAGUGGAUGUGUACCUCCACCUCUCCUUGUAGAAGCUGCAGCUCCAGAGGUGUAUUCUGAUCACGGAGUUCAAGCGUCACAUCACCAGCCUAUUGUUCAGAAUGCUAUAGCCAUGCCUGCGCCUACACUAUGGAGCAUUCAGUAUUAAGCCAUUUGGGCAGCUCUCGUCUGCCUGCACUGAUUUUCUUGUCCUGGCCUUCCUAUGUGGCUGAGAUCCAUCAUCACCAUAGCAGCUCGCAGCUGCCUGCUGUGGAACUUGCGGAACUGAAGCUGCAUUCUGUGAGAAGAAAUUUUUCACAUCAUUCAUCUGAGUCUGAAACCUCAAUGCACAUGAAGUCCCCAUUUCAUCCUAGACACGAUUACAGAAUGGAAGAUAAAAUUCUCAUACCACCUUCUACAGACUGUAAACCAAAUUUUAUUUUCUUUUAGCUAUCUACUACCUAUCACAUGGAGCAGAUAUUCUUCCUAACUCCUAACGUUUGCCUGAAAAUGCCAAAGUUAAAUAGUACUCCUUUUUGUAAAGUAAUCAAAUGAAAUAUUGUAGUUUGGACAGGCAAAAACAUGUGAAACCGUAAUUUUUAUCCUGCAUUUCCUUUCUUAGUAAAAAUACUGUUACAAGACAAAAUGGGGAUUUCUGAUACACAGCCUACUGUAUAAACUUUGUUUACUAACAUAGAUUGAAAAUCAGCAUAUUUUUUAUUAAAAGGGAAAGUUAACAUUUAAUUUCUGGAUUACAUGAACUUUAAAGAUACGUUAGUUACAUAGUAAAUGCCAUUUUCCCACAUACUGACAGCAUUUAUGUGCUGCUGAUUGAAGUCUGGUUAUUUAAAUCUGUGCAUUUUAAUUCCAAAAGAGUUUGCCUACUUUUUU